RNAcentral lists this ribosomal RNA (1308 nucleotides) under Kudoa hexapunctata. RNAcentral describes it as "large subunit ribosomal RNA". The stretch from base 878 to 1191 matches the Rfam family "Archaeal large subunit ribosomal RNA", at positions 2155 to 2716 of the family's 2987-position model. Lineage: Eukaryota; Metazoa; Cnidaria; Myxozoa; Multivalvulida; Kudoidae. The record is from RNAcentral.
ACCAGCUCCUUUUGGCCUAGAUGGGCCACUCCUUUUCUGCUCCUAGCGUAAUCGUCAUUCCUGUUGUAGUUUUUAUGACGCUGGUUUUAGACGUUUAGCCUAGGGCAAAACUUUCCCUAGGGAAUGAGGUCCCAACAAGACCAAGAUACUCCGAUCCUUAUAGGUUUCCUGGAGUUCUUUCCUGGACGUUGCGAACAAAGCUCAUGAGGAAAGAUGCCUCUUUAGCUUGACGUUCCUUGUCAUCUGACAAUUGAGCUUUCUAGAAAAUCCUAAGCAACUAGACCAGGUUUUCUGUGAACAGGAAAAACAUUCCUCUUUUGCAUCAUGGAUCCUAAUGGAUCUAGAGUGAAAAUGGACUUGUUCUUCUGCACCAGUUCCGUAAGGGAAAAGGUGAACUAGGCGGAGCCAUAGGGCUAACCUGGUGAAAGCAAUAGAUCCUGUCCUGGGCACAAAGACAGCUAAGGCAUCGUCUCAGUCCUGGAUCUUUUUGCCUAAUAAGAGUUCCUUUUUCUUAACAGAACCCUCCAUUAUCCUUGGAGAGGAAAAGGUUGGGUGGAGUAACGAUCUUCUUAGGCUCCUUUAGCUUCCUGUUUUGAUCGAUGACAGCUGUAGGUGUCAAUGAAGUCUGCCUGGUACGACGUCCUUUUUAGUGAACUUGGCAACAACUGGCACGCCUGUUUUCUAAAAACAUAGGUGUUAAAAAGGCUUAAUGCCCAGUACUGCCAAAGUCCUCUACUGGCAGCAGUAUCUUGACUGUGCCAAUGUACCUUAGUUUCUUGUUGUUUCAUUGGCAACCAGGGAAGUAUUGACGAUGUCAGUCCUUUACUGAAAAGGCCUCGUGAAACAAUGGCCAGGAUGAACACAUCCUGGAUAGAUUGAGGGAGGAGUAGUCCCUUAUUCCUUGAACGACACUCUGGAAGUCAAAAUUACUCCUAGAUCAAUGUUUUUCCUGGGGUGAGGCCUCACUAGUAUGUGAGGAAAAACUCCUUUAUAUUGAUCUGGAUCCUUUAUUGGAGUUUGUUACAAAAGGAACUAAGGGGCAAUAGGGCAAGAAGCUAAAGCUUCUGCUACUUCGAUGUUGGACUCCUCAUCCAUCGUGGUUAGAACCACGUAUUGGAACGUCUGUUCUACGCUUAAACGAGGUCAUGAUCUGAGUUUAGAACGUUGUAAGACAGUUCGGAUUCUAUCUUCUAACCACGAGCUUUAAGACUUUAAGGCUUAUGGUUCCUGUGGCGAUACGAAAGGAUGCCAUAGAAUAGGCCAAUGACUUUUGUUAUGCCUCAGCAGUUCCUAUUUAAAAAUCUGCUC